Regulatory RNA element from Tropicimonas sediminicola, 89 nucleotides. It matches the Rfam family "L2-Alphaproteobacteria ribosomal protein leader". Lineage: Bacteria; Pseudomonadati; Pseudomonadota; Alphaproteobacteria; Rhodobacterales; Roseobacteraceae. The record is from Rfam.
GGGGACCUCUGCCGAGGGCCCUAUACCCAGGCCGAAAGGCCCACACAUAGCGGGGCGACAAGCCCUGCAAAGCUAACGGAAGACAGAAA